UUUACAACUCGCAGGAUUUCCAUGGGUGAGCUUUCAACCCAAAUCUGUACAGCAUUGUUAGUCUUUACUGAUAAGAAACCGCGGGAGCAGUUGUCUGAUUCUCGCUCGUGCUGGAGGAGCGUUCAUUUUGGCAAGGAAAUGUGCUGAUUUUGCAACGACAUGGAGAAGAAAGUGUUCAAGGAAUCAGUGGGAAUGACCUCACCCUCACAGACCUGGGUGACCCCAUCAAUGACGGUGAUGUUAUGAAGGAAGUCAAACCUGAUACAGAUCAGAGAGACAGACCAAGUUGGAAGAGGCUGUUCUAGAGACAGAUAUCCCAACUCUGUGACUUGAGGAUGAAGGAGAAAUUAAGAUGCAGGAGGCUGAUCUGAAGACAGAUGGCACAUCUCAGUCACAGGAGGUUGAGGGAGAGAGCGAGUUGGACGAGGCCAUUGUCAUCCCAUCUCAGUCACAGGAGGAGGCCAAAGGAGAGAGUGAGUUAAAUCAGGUUGAUCUGAAGACAGCCACAUCAACUCUGACACUGGAGGUCGAAGGAUAGAGUGUGAUGCAGGAGAGUGAUGAUCUAGAGACAGCUGGGACAUCUCAAUCCCAGGAGACUGAACGAGUGGCAAAGGCUGCAGUGGUGACCUUCACUACCAUGACCCGCAAGGCUGCAGCCUCCCAGACCAGCCUCACCCUCAGCAGGGGAAAGAGAAGCUACCCAGACCUACACGCCUUUGUGCAGGACAUAAAGGAUGGCCAUUGGAAUCUGCUGAGUGAGAAUAUGCGUGCCGGGAUGAGCAGAGAUGAGUUUAGUGCUAGGUGCAUAUGGAUAUUACAAAUUGGGUGAUGGAGUCUACAUCCACUGUGGUCGUUCCUGCCAUUGACCUCACUAUGCAGAUCGAGCUCUCUGAUUCGUCAAGCUCUUCUGGAUCAGGAAGUAAUGAGACAAGAGAAGUGACCUCUCUUGGCCGCAGCGUCAGAUUCAGCUUUUGUGGUGGACCCAGUAGACGCACCAGUUCUGGAACUGCUUGAAGCACACAAACUCCCACGCCUUUCCCCUCCUCUCACAGGUCCAUGACCUCUUUGCUGAGUGAUGACGAAGAACGAUAUGUCUCCUCACCUGAGGGUGGUGAGAGAGAUGAGACACA
Molecule: long non-coding RNA, 1130 nt
Organism: Oncorhynchus tshawytscha (Chinook salmon)
Lineage: Eukaryota; Metazoa; Chordata; Actinopteri; Salmoniformes; Salmonidae
Source: Ensembl